Molecule: ribosomal RNA, 656 nt
Filed under: uncultured Gammaproteobacteria bacterium
Lineage: Bacteria; Pseudomonadati; Pseudomonadota; Gammaproteobacteria
Description: partial 16S ribosomal RNA
Rfam family: Bacterial small subunit ribosomal RNA (bases 1-205)
Source: RNAcentral
GAAUCGCUAGUAAUCGCGGAUCAGCAUGCCGCGGUGAAUACGUUCCCGGGCCUUGUACACACCGCCCGUCACACCAUGGGAGUGGGUUGCAAAAGAAGUGGGUAGCUUAACCUUCGGGAGGGCGCUCACCACUUUGUGAUUCAUGACUGGGGUGAAGUCGUAACAAGGUAGCCCUAGGGGAACCUGGGGCUGGAUCACCUCCUUUAAAAAGUUUCGCCGGGUCGGCGGAGUACUCACAUAAAUUACCUAUCCACAGUUAAAGCAGAUACAGGCCUGUUGCUUGAAGCAUCUGUACUGCACUUGAGCAAAUUGGGUCUGUAGCUCAGUUGGUUAGAGCGCACCCCUGAUAAGGGUGAGGUCGGAGGUUCAAAUCCUCCCAGACCCACCAGAUUGGAGUUCAGGGGCCAUAGCUCAGCUGGGAGAGCGCCUGCCUUGCACGCAGGAGGUCGGCGGUUCGAUCCCGCCUGGCUCCACCAAAUUCAUGAGUGGGAAGUGUCUAGCGAGAAGGCUAGCCACUUUGCAUUUGCGAAGUCUGCUCUUUAAAAAUUAGGUUAGAUCGCUGAUAGGUGAUAUCGAAAGAUAUCCUUAUCAAUUAAGUAUCUAAGUUUCUCAAGGCUUAGAUACUGGGUAUGUUGCAUUCGUAACCAUUGAUUGUA